RNAcentral lists this ribosomal RNA (370 nucleotides) under uncultured cyanobacterium. RNAcentral describes it as "bacterial SSU rRNA". It matches the Rfam family "Bacterial small subunit ribosomal RNA", at positions 386 to 770 of the family's 1533-position model. Lineage: Bacteria; Bacillati; Cyanobacteriota. The record is from RNAcentral.
ACGGAGCAAUACCGCGUGCGGGAGGACAGUCCAUUGGAUUGUAAACCGCUUUUCUCUGGGAAGAAGCUCUGACGGUACCAGAGGAAUCAGCAUCGGCUAACUCCGUGCCAGCAGCCGCGGUAAGACGGAGGAUGCAAGCGUUAUCCGGAAUGAUUGGGCGUAAAGCGUCCGCAGGUGGCUUAUCAAGUCCGCUGUCAAAGCGCGAGGCUUAACCUCGUACAGGCAGUAGAAACUGGUGAGCUAGAGGGUGGUAGGGGUAGAGGGAAUUCCCAGUGUAGCGGUGAAAUGCGUAGAUAUUGGGAAGAACACCAGUGGCGAAAGCGCUCUACUGGGCCACACCUGACACUGAGGGACGAAAGCUAGGGGAGCG